This is a long non-coding RNA of Homo sapiens (human), 716 nucleotides long. Lineage: Eukaryota; Metazoa; Chordata; Mammalia; Primates; Hominidae. The record is from Ensembl.
AGUUCACUUUUGGGAGCUGACUGCAGUUGCAGAAGAUGGCUGAAGAGACCGAGGCCUUUCACACUGAAGGUGGGAGCUGAAAGUUGAAGAGUUGAAGCCCUUUUGCCCUUCUCAGAAUGACUACACUUAAAGUGAGCUUCCUCACCACCAAGUACCAGAACAAAUGGUGGGCCUGGAAAGGCAAUUCUGCUCUGAGGAACGUGAAACAAGCAUAAACCGAAUGUGAUGGCAGAGCUGUCACACCUUGUGGCCAUCGAUUACAUUUCCACUGACCGUUCUAUCACUCUCCAGAAGGGUGAUCAUGCCUGUGCUGCUCCCAGAAGACCCAGAUCCACCGAAAGAAAUGCAAUCCUUCCCCACAGGCAGCCUUUCCUGAGGAGAAGAAGGAGCUUCUCUAAUUGUCACAUGAGUAGAAAAUGUUGAAGAGACCUGCCUCUUUCAGAGGAAGGGUAAACAGAAUUCUAACCACAUUUUAAAACACCUCUUCCCUCUGCUUAUUGAAGUAGGAUACUCAGCAACAAUUCAAAAGAUUGAGGUUUACAUGCACUGAUGAGGAACGACCUCCAAGCUUCAUUGUUCAGAAAGUUUCACGUCCACCAUACAGUCAGCUCUACAAGGGCAAGCCUGCCUGAUUCACCAGCCGUAUUCACAGAACUAUGCUGGAAAAGCAAUUGUGGGAUAACUAAGUUUGGAUCAAUAAAUGAAUGUGUAAAAGA